GUGCCCUUUUAAGGUUGACACAGUGCCUUAAGAGCUUAACACAGAAAGGUAAAGUAAGUUUCCAUAAAACCCAGAGACGAUAUUGCAAAAUUCCUCUUUGGAUCAUGUCUGGAGUUACAGCU
Small nucleolar RNA from Colobus angolensis palliatus, 122 nucleotides. Lineage: Eukaryota; Metazoa; Chordata; Mammalia; Primates; Cercopithecidae. The record is from Ensembl.